This 253-nucleotide ribosomal RNA is filed under the name uncultured bacterium. Its description in RNAcentral is "partial 16S ribosomal RNA". It matches the Rfam family "Bacterial small subunit ribosomal RNA", at positions 524 to 776 of the family's 1533-position model. The record is from RNAcentral.
UACGGGGGGGGCAAGCGUUGUUCGGAAUUACUGGGCGUAAAGCGCACGUAGGCGGCUUUGUAAGUUAGAGGUGAAAGCCCGGGGCUCAACCCCGGAAUAGCCUUUAAGACUGCAUCGCUUGAAUCCAGGAGAGGUGAGUGGAAUUCCGAGUGUAGAGGUGAAAUUCGUAGAUAUUCGGAAGAACACCAGUGGCGAAGGCGGCUCACUGGACUGGUAUUGACGCUGAGGUGCGAAAGCGUGGGGAGCAAACAGG